GCUGGAAAGUUGAGUCCACCUGAACAGCUUGAUGCUAUUUGUGGAGUAGCUCUGCAGCUACAGCAAGAGUUGAUGUGGUUUGAGGAAGUGAGUAACAUCGUGGAUCCAUCGAAAGCUCAUGAAAAAA
Long non-coding RNA from Pistacia vera, 127 nucleotides. RefSeq lists it as uncharacterized. The record is from RefSeq and is a predicted model, not a curated record. The transcript is spliced from 2 exons. NCBI's taxonomy places the organism in Eukaryota, Viridiplantae, Streptophyta, Magnoliopsida, Sapindales, Anacardiaceae.